Molecule: long non-coding RNA, 285 nt
Filed under: Phoenix dactylifera (date palm)
Lineage: Eukaryota; Viridiplantae; Streptophyta; Magnoliopsida; Arecales; Arecaceae
Description: long non-coding RNA (PDAC_LNC003976)
Source: RNAcentral
GGGUGACAAAUGAUGUGGUAUUGAAGGUGUAUCAUGAUUAUUGGUAGAAUGAGAAGAAGAAGUGUGGAGAGAAUUAGGAGGUAACCGGACAGUGGCCGACGCAGACGAAGAAGAAGGAGAUUGAGUUGCUGGGAUAUGGAUUGGAAGAGGACAGAUUGGAAAGUCCGGAACUAACAAAGGUGUAGGUAACACUGGUGGACUUGGAGAGGAAGAGGUUACCUGAGAAAAAGGAAAAAUGUGCUCAUCAAACUGGACGUGCCUGGAUAUGAAAACACGACCUGUUGC